CAACUAUAUUUUGAAAUCGUUUUCUCAAAUGUUACAAUCGAACCAAGUAAGAUCAGUUUAGUAAAUAUUGAGCCGGCUGUCAUGAGUUAUGGAGACGUUAUUAACCUCUGAGAUAGCUGGAUAUAUAGCAGUGUAUCAUCAACCUCAUAACCGCGUAGGAAAAGAAAGACUGCCAUGCACGUGUCGGUGGAAACGAAGUGAAGUUGACAGUGGCAGGUAAUACAACAAUGGGAUGUGAAGAAUGAGAUAAAUAAGGGGCUUCAAUUUUUUUUUCAUACUCCUCCUUAUCCUAUCACUGAUGGAACAAAAAUUGGGGAUGAACGGCGGUAAGCCCAUCCGGUGCAGAGCGGCGGUCUGCCGGAAGGCUGGGGAGGCGCUGAUGAUGGAGGACAUAAUGGUGGCUCCGCCGUUGCCUCAUGAGGUUCGGAUACGGAUCAUUUGCACCUCUCUCUGUCAUACCGAUAUCAAAUAUUGGAAAAUGAAGGAUCCUCCGGGGAUUGUUCCAAGAAUUUUUGGCCAUGAAGCUGUAGGGGAGGUUGAGAGUGUAGGAGUUGAAGUAAGUGAAGUAAAGCAAGGUGAUUUUGUGAUACCAACAUUCAUGGCUGAGUGUGAAGAAUGUAGAGAUUGUACGUCAAGUAAGAGCAAUCUUUGCUCUAAACAACCUUUUAAGCUCUCUCAAGGGAUGCCUCAAUGUGGGACAAGUAGGUUCACGGAUCUUAAGGGAGAGGUUUUGCAUCAUUUUAUGUUUGUUUCAAGUUUCAGCGAGUACACUGUGGUGGAUGUUACUCAUCUCACUAAGCUUGAUCCUGUUCUCAUCUCUCCUGACAAGGCAUGCCUCCUAGGUUGUGGCGUAUCGACAGGGGUGGGAGCUGCUUGGAGAACAGCAAAUGUGGAGAAGGGAUCUACUGUUGCCAUUUUUGGGCUUGGGACUGUGGGCUUAGCAGUUGCUCAAGGAGCAAGAAUAUGUGGAGCAGCUAGAAUCAUUGGAAUAGAUGUCAACCCACAUAAAUUAACAUUGGCAAAAGAGUUUGGAGUCACAGAGGUUGUUAAUUCUGGAAACAUUGGAGACAAAUCUGUGAGCCAGGUAAUCAAUGAGAUGACGGAUGGGGGUGCAGACUAUUGCUUUGAAUGUGUUGGAUUAAGUUCCUUAAUCAAGGAAGCAUUUGCAUGCUGCAGAAAGUUUUCUUGUGUCAAUGAGUUUAGGGUUGGGGGAAAACAAUUUUAUUUGGUGUGGAGGACCAAGCGUCACUUUUAGGUGUCAAAUGUAUAGAUGCCAUUUUUCAAGGGAAAAUGUUGAUAGGAUGCAUAUAUGGUGGACUUAAGCCCAAAUCAGACAUUCCCACACUCCUUCAAUGGUACAUUGAUAAGAAUAUGUAAACUUGGCUGGCAGAAAUUAGAAUUGGAUUUAUUUAUCACACAUGAAGUUGGGUUUGAAGACAUCAACAAAGCUUUCAGUUUGCUAAGUGAAGGCCAAUGCCUGAGGUGUGUGAUCUGGAUGACCAAAUAAUGAAGCAAACUCCUGCCUUGUUACUCCUCAAACUUAAGCGACUUUCAAUAUUACAAACUCCAUUUUGUAUUGAAGUUUAAUGUUUCUUUAGAACACAGCAAAUGCACGAGAUGCUCCAGUGAAAUAUACGUUGGUUGAGUUUAUGGUACUCCUCGAUGAUCCAAAGUGUCGAAGCCUAUACACACCUGGAUCGGCGUCUAUCGGUAUGUCCCAUUCAAUAGUGACUAAGUUGUUGAUAAACGUGUUGUCUAAUUUCCAUUUAAAAAACAAGGAGAAAUCAUCGUCAUCAUAUGCCGGUGUCCAUCGUUGUUUCUCUAGCCUUUCGACCAAGGCAUACGUCCCUUCGGUUAAGAGGUCAAAUCUUGGGUUUGCACUCCAAAAUGUGGCAGUUGGCUUUUGUUUGCUCCCAGUUUUGAACCAACCGUCUUUUGGUAAUUCGACGUCUUGUUGAAUGUCUCCAAAGUUUACACCAUUCGGGGGAGAUUCUCCAAAAGGGUCCAUUACGAGUCGGAGUUGGACAGAGGAAAGGUCUGGUGGUGAGGCAAUUGGUUUGGCAAUUUUUUCACCUUUGGCUAUUGCUAUUGCUAGUUUCUUGAACUCUUGUAUGUAUGCUGAUAGAGUGUGUGGCCCAUAGAGAGUUGAGGCAGCCUAAAUAUAACAUGAAAACAUCGAAUGAUUAAUAAAAACAACUUAUAUUGUCAAAACUAGCCUCUCAAGUGUUUUCUUAUUUCAA
Cucumis sativus (cucumber) is the source of this 2240-nucleotide RNA transcript. It is a transcript of the gene named alcohol dehydrogenase-like 7, with no coding region annotated. The transcript is spliced from 10 exons. Lineage: Eukaryota; Viridiplantae; Streptophyta; Magnoliopsida; Cucurbitales; Cucurbitaceae. The record is from RefSeq and is a predicted model, not a curated record.